UACGUAGGGGGCAAGCGUUGUCCGGAAUGACUGGGCGUAAAGCGCGCGCAGGCGGUUUGCCACGUCUUGGGUGAAAGACCGGGGCUCAACCCUGGGGGUGCCUGAGAUACGGGUGGACUUGAGGGUCGGAGAGGUCAGGGGAAUUCCACGUGUAGCGGUGAAAUGCGUAGAGAUGUGGAGGAAUACCAGUGGCGAAGGCGCCUGACUGGACGAAACCUGACGCUGAGGCGCGAAGGCGUGGGGAGCAAACAGG
RNAcentral lists this ribosomal RNA (253 nucleotides) under uncultured organism. RNAcentral's name for it is "partial 16S ribosomal RNA". It matches the Rfam family "Bacterial small subunit ribosomal RNA", at positions 524 to 776 of the family's 1533-position model. The record is from RNAcentral.